Molecule: non-coding RNA, 72 nt
Organism: Podarcis lilfordi (Lilford's wall lizard)
Lineage: Eukaryota; Metazoa; Chordata; Lepidosauria; Squamata; Lacertidae
Source: the annotation of a GenBank genome assembly
GCCUCUUUCCCAGUUGGUUACAGCAUGGUGCUGAGAACGCCAAAGUUGCAGGUUCAAUCCCUGUAUAGGGCA